Molecule: ribosomal RNA, 236 nt
Filed under: uncultured bacterium
Lineage: Bacteria
Description: partial 16S ribosomal RNA
Rfam family: Bacterial small subunit ribosomal RNA
Source: RNAcentral
CGCCCGCAAGGGGAGCGGCAGACGGGUGAGUAACGCGUGGGAACGUACCUUUUGCUACGGAAUAACUCAGGGAAACUUGUGCUAAUACCGUAUGUGCCCUUCGGGGGAAAGAUUUAUCGGCAAAGGAUCGGCCCGCGUUGGAUUAGCUAGUUGGUGAGGUAAAGGCUCACCAAGGCGACGAUCCAUAGCUGGUCUGAGAGGAUGAUCAGCCACACUGGGACUGAGACACGGCCCAG